GCAAGUCGAGCGAACAGACGAGGAGCUUGCUCCUCUGACGUUAGCGGCGGACGGGUGAGUAACACGUGGAUAACCUACCUAUAAGACUGGGAUAACUUCGGGAAACCGGAGCUAAUACCGGAUAAUAUAUUGAACCGCAUGGUUCAAUAGUGAAAGACGGUUUUGCUGUCACUUAUAGAUGGAUCCGCGCCGCAUUAGCUAGUUGGUAAGGUAACGGCUUACCAAGGCAACGAUGCGUAGCCGACCUGAGAGGGUGAUCGGCCACACUGGAACUGAGACACGGUCCAGACUCCUACGGGAGGCAGCAGUAGGGAAUCUUCCGCAAUGGGCGAAAGCCUGACGGAGCAACGCCGCGUGAGUGAUGAAGGUCUUCGGAUCGUAAAACUCUGUUAUUAGGGAAGAACAAAUGUGUAAGUAACUAUGCACGUCUUGACGGUACCUAAUCAGAAAGCCACGGCUAACUACGUGCCAGCAGCCGCGGUAAUACGUAGGUGGCAAGCGUUAUCCGGAAUUAUUGGGCGUAAAGCGCGCGUAGGCGGUUUUUUAAGUCUGAUGUGAAAGCCCACGGCUCAACCGUGGAGGGUCAUUGGAAACUGGAAAACUUGAGUGCAGAAGAGGAAAGUGGAAUUCCAUGUGUAGCGGUGAAAUGCGCAGAGAUAUGGAGGAACACCAGUGGCGAAGGCGACUUUCUGGUCUGUAACU
Molecule: ribosomal RNA, 702 nt
Filed under: uncultured Staphylococcus sp.
Lineage: Bacteria; Bacillati; Bacillota; Bacilli; Caryophanales; Staphylococcaceae
Description: bacterial SSU rRNA
Rfam family: Bacterial small subunit ribosomal RNA
Source: RNAcentral